Long non-coding RNA from Lucilia cuprina (Australian sheep blowfly), 426 nucleotides. RefSeq lists it as uncharacterized. NCBI's taxonomy places the organism in Eukaryota, Metazoa, Arthropoda, Insecta, Diptera, Calliphoridae. The transcript has 3 exons. The record is from RefSeq and is a predicted model, not a curated record.
AAACAAAACAAACAAAUAAAGAAAUAAAUAAUAAAAAAAAAGAAAAUAAAGCGGAAAACAAAAUAAACCAUUCAUAUAAUUUUGCGGUAUUUACGAUGUGAAGAUGCCAACAGCAACAAUGUUGUAUGUAUUGGAUUAAUCGGACACAUAAGAGUAUAAGAUGAUUUUUAUGGCCUUUUUACGACUUAGCGCCGGUUAAUAAAAAAUAAGAAGAAAUAGAAAGAGAAUGUGUUUGAAGUGAUCGUUGAUCGUAUGGAAGGUCCUACAGGAUGUUUGUUAAGAGUAUGUUUUGCACCUUUGAGUUAAUUUUGAGUGGUGGAUUCUUGAUUGUAACUCUCUUCGUUUUAUGAUGAUUUUAAUGAUCUUCCAUUGAUGUAGUUGUUGCUGUUGUCGUAUCCAAUAUGUAUUUUCAGCCAUUCAUUGACU